AGAGUUUGAUCAUGGCUCAGGACGAACGCUGGCGGCGCGCCUAACACAUGCAAGUCGAACGGAGUUAUUCCGAAUGAAGUUUUCGGAUGGAUUUUGGAAUAACUUAGUGGCGAACGGAUGAGUAACGCGUGAGUAACCUGCCCUGGAGUGGGGGACAACAGUUGGAAACGACUGCUAAUACCGCAUAAGCCCACGGCCCGG
RNAcentral lists this ribosomal RNA (201 nucleotides) under uncultured bacterium. RNAcentral describes it as "partial 16S ribosomal RNA". It matches the Rfam family "Bacterial small subunit ribosomal RNA", at positions 8 to 189 of the family's 1533-position model. The record is from RNAcentral.